GCGCCUGUAGCUCAGCCGGAUAGAGCACCUGCCUUCUAAGCAGGGGGUUGGGCGUUCGAGUCGCCCCAGGCGCG
RNAcentral lists this transfer RNA (74 nucleotides) under Candidatus Omnitrophota bacterium. RNAcentral's name for it is "tRNA-Arg". It matches the Rfam family "tRNA". From Rfam's summary of the family: Transfer RNA (tRNA) molecules are approximately 80 nucleotides in length. The record is from RNAcentral. Lineage: Bacteria; Pseudomonadati; Candidatus Omnitrophota.